RNAcentral lists this ribosomal RNA (456 nucleotides) under uncultured bacterium. Its description in RNAcentral is "bacterial SSU rRNA". It matches the Rfam family "Bacterial small subunit ribosomal RNA", at positions 30 to 530 of the family's 1533-position model. The record is from RNAcentral.
CGAACGCUGGCGGCAGGCCUAACACAUGCAAGUCGAACGGGUGCAGCAAUGCAUCAGUGGCAGACGGGUGAGUAACACGUGGGAACCUUCCUAGGGGUACGGAACAACUCAGGGAAACUUGAGCUAAUACCGUAUACGUCCGUGAGGAGAAAGAUUUAUCGCCCUUAGACGGGCCCGCGUCGGAUUAGCUAGUUGGUGGGGUAACGGCCUACCAAGGCGACGAUCCGUAGCUGAUCUUAGAGGAUGAUCAGCCACACUGGGACUGAGACACGGCCCAGACUCCUACGGGAGGCAGCAGUGGGGAAUCUUGGACAAUGGGGGCAACCCUGAUCCAGCCAUGCCGCGUGAGUGAAGAAGGUCUUCGGAUUGUAAAGCUCUUUUGCCAGGGACGAUAAUGACGGUACCUGGAGAAUAAGCCCCGGCAAACUUCGUGCCAGCAGCCGCGGUAAUCUGAUG